CACGUAGGGCGCAAGCGUUGUCCGGAAUUAUUGGGCGUAAAGAGCUCGUAGGCGGUCUGUUGCGUCCGCUGUGAAAACUCGGGGCUUAAUCCCGAGCCUGCAGUGGAUACGGGCAGACUAGAGGUAGGUAGGGGAGAAUGGAAUUCCCGGUGUAGCGGUGAAAUGCGCAGAUAUCGGGAGGAACACCGGUGGCGAAGGCGGUUCUCUGGGCCUUACCUGACGCUGAGGAGCGAAAGCGUGGGGAGCGAACAGG
This 253-nucleotide ribosomal RNA is filed under the name uncultured bacterium. RNAcentral's name for it is "partial 16S ribosomal RNA". It matches the Rfam family "Bacterial small subunit ribosomal RNA", at positions 524 to 776 of the family's 1533-position model. The record is from RNAcentral.